CUUUCCCGAGAAUCCUGAGCUGAGAUGAAUGCUGCCACCCCGACACCUGGCCUCUGAGAAGCCACUAUUUCCCUAUCUAAGCUGGCCAGUCGUGGACAAAUCCCUCAGUUCCGCAGAGAUGAGGUUGGAAUUAGAAGUCAAAUGCAAAUGCAUAGAAAUGGAGGAGUUAACAGCACAGGCAUCUUCAAGCGAAUCCACAAAAAUUUGUUCAGAGCUUAUAGUCUACCCAGCCCCAGUUCCUUUUCCUCAGUAAAGCCUUACUUUGCACAGAAGGUGAAUGUUAGGUCAAGGCACUCAGACUUCCUGCCCAAAAGUCUUUUGAGUUUGUCAGCAGCAAUUGCAUGAGGAAAAGACGAUGCCUGCACAGAAAAGAGAUAGGAAACAUUGCCUAGUACGGAAAUCUGCAGGCCCCUU
Molecule: long non-coding RNA, 414 nt
Filed under: Homo sapiens (human)
Lineage: Eukaryota; Metazoa; Chordata; Mammalia; Primates; Hominidae
Description: HSALNT0285216
Source: RNAcentral